GUGCCCGUAGCUCAGUCGGAUAGAGCACCAGAUUCCUAAUCUGGGGGUCAGAAGUUCGAAUCUUCUCGGGCACGCCA
This 77-nucleotide transfer RNA is filed under the name Alphaproteobacteria bacterium. Its description in RNAcentral is "tRNA-Arg". It matches the Rfam family "tRNA". From Rfam's summary of the family: Transfer RNA (tRNA) molecules are approximately 80 nucleotides in length. Their secondary structure includes four short double-helical elements and three loops (D, anti-codon, and T loops). Lineage: Bacteria; Pseudomonadati; Pseudomonadota; Alphaproteobacteria. The record is from RNAcentral.